GAUGAAUGCUGGCGGCGUGCCUAACACAUGCAGGUCGAGCGGCAGCGAGGGGUGCUUGCACCCUGUCGGCGAGCGGCGAACGGCUGAGUAACGCGUAGGAAUUUGCCCCAAAGUGAGGAAUAACUGCCCGAAAGGGUAGCUAAUGCCGCAUAUGGUCUUCGGAUUAAAGGAUUUAUCCGCUUUGGGAGAAGCCUGCGUUGGAUUAGGUUGUUGGUAGGGUAAUGGCCUACCAAGCCGACGAUCCAUAGCUGGUCUGAGAGGAUGAUCAGCCAGACUGGAACUGAGACACGGUCCAGACUCCUACGGGAGGCAGCAGUGAGGAAUCUUCCACAAUGGGCUAAAGCCUGAUGGAGCAACGCCGCGUGAAGGAUGAAGGCCUUCGGGUUGUAAACUUCUUUUAUGAGUGAAGAAUAUGACGGUAACUCAUGAAUAAGCACCGGCUAACUACGUG
This 451-nucleotide ribosomal RNA is filed under the name uncultured bacterium. RNAcentral describes it as "partial 16S ribosomal RNA". It matches the Rfam family "Bacterial small subunit ribosomal RNA", at positions 28 to 507 of the family's 1533-position model. The record is from RNAcentral.